This 489-nucleotide long non-coding RNA is filed under the name Homo sapiens (human). Its description in RNAcentral is "HSALNT0020892". The record is from RNAcentral. Lineage: Eukaryota; Metazoa; Chordata; Mammalia; Primates; Hominidae.
UCCUAUUAAACCUGGUUCUUCUUGAGAAGAGAGAACUGUGCUGUGUUCAUUGUGGAAUACUGCACAAUUCACCCAGGGCCUAACUCGUGACAUCCUCAAUGAGCUCAAGUUCCAAGCCCAUAGAGCUGCAUGGGCCACCAGAGUCCUCCGAGGCCCCUGGCAAGCUGCAGAUCCUGCCUUCCUGUCUCAAAGUUUACAGCCACUGCAAAGGUCAGGAAUUGUGGUCCUCACAUGUAAAAGAUGAGACAGCCAGGGAGCAGGCAAGUUUGCAACCCAGAGCUCUCUUGAGGAACACGGAGCAAAGCCACCAGCCAAGGCAUGUUGUUUCCGUCAUAAUGUGUGCUGCACAGUGUGGAAGAGUUUUAUGGUGGCCCUGGCCUAGAGCUGUAAAGUUUAUUUCUGCACAUUAGCUAGUCCAUUGUCCCCUGCCCCCAAUAUCUCUUUCAUCUUCUUUAGGUAGACUUGUCAGGAUCCUCUUUUAAACACAAG